CAGCAGCCGCGGGAAUACGAAGGGGGCUAGCGUUGUUCGGAUUUACUGGGCGUAAAGGGCGCGUAGGCGGGCGAAUAAGUCAGGGGUGAAAUCCCAAGGCUCAACCUUGGAACUGCCUUUGAUACUGUUUGUCUUGAGUUCGAGAGAGGUAAGUGGAACUGCGAGUGUAGAGGUGAAAUUCGUAGAUAUUCGCAAGAACACCAGUGGCGAAGGCGGCUCACUGGCCCGAUACUGACGCUGAGGCACGAAAGCGUGGGGAGCAAACAGGAUUAGAUACCCGGGUAGUCCCUGUCUCUUAUAC
Molecule: ribosomal RNA, 301 nt
Filed under: uncultured bacterium
Lineage: Bacteria
Description: partial 16S ribosomal RNA
Rfam family: Bacterial small subunit ribosomal RNA
Source: RNAcentral